CAGGCCUGAACCUUUCAGUCUACCCCAGAAGAGUGCUCUAGUGGACCCUUGAGGGAUGAUCACACUCAAGAGCCAUGGAUAUAACUAGGCACUCAGCUUUCUACAAGCUGAGACAGUCUGAAUGGCGUGUUCUAGAUGAGCAAAGUCCUGUGGGAUCCUUUGGGGAAUGUAAAGCAGCGUGGCACACAGGCAUAUUGUCAGCGUGCAGACUCUGUCCCCUUGCUGCAAGAGGGUUCCCCACCUCUGCCCGAAUCCAUGGUCAAAAAGAUUUGGGUUGCAUCUCAUCGUUCUCAAGAUUAGCUGGAAUUUUGGAUGAACAGGGAUGCUUUAGCUGGGCUGGAGAAGCUCUGAUGCAACUGGCAUUUACCCUGCCAUCCUGAUCUGCAGCAGAUUUGUUUCCUUCGUAGGUGUUUCAACACAGUGCUGUUCUGGAGCGACCACUAAUAAACCAUUACUAAAUAAAUAAACA
Molecule: long non-coding RNA, 469 nt
Filed under: Cyanistes caeruleus (blue tit)
Lineage: Eukaryota; Metazoa; Chordata; Aves; Passeriformes; Paridae
Description: lncRNA (ENSCCEG00000016996.1)
Source: RNAcentral